RNAcentral lists this ribosomal RNA (816 nucleotides) under Triticum aestivum (bread wheat). Its description in RNAcentral is "partial small subunit ribosomal RNA". The record is from RNAcentral. Lineage: Eukaryota; Viridiplantae; Streptophyta; Magnoliopsida; Poales; Poaceae.
AUGGACGAAGGCACGCAUCGGUGUUGCCAGCAUCGGGCAUGCAUAGACGAGGACCUGCACAAGUUGUACGCCAUGUUGGAGGAGUCGGAGAGGCCAGCAGAGAAGGACUCGACGACGGUUGCGGUGUCAAUCAACAUGGAGCCGAUGUCGCCUACGGUUGUCGGAGUAGACGAAGUGGUCGGGGUAGAUGACGGCGACGCUGGCGACGGGCCGGUGCUGGACGAAGACGAAGGAGGUGGCGGGCGGAGGCUACGUGGUCCUCCGCCGCCGCCCCGUCCCUCGCCGCAGCCACGACGUCACGGCCUGCUCCUCGUGGUGGCUGCGCCGGUGCUCUGCGCCGCGCAGAGCCCCAUCUCACAGCCGCUGCCGGCCGGCGCGCCCAUCACGUCCCCGCUCCUCCGCCUCGACGCCGACUCUCUCAACCCUCUCUCCAACCCUAACCCUCUCCCUCCCUCAGAUCUCAAUCCACCACCGUCUCUAUCCCUAUCCCCGCAUAGCCCAACCCAAUCCACCGCCAUCCUCUACCCAGUUCCCUCCCCGUUCCGGCGAGCCCGCUAUGAACCGUCUGCGAGCGGCAGCGCAGCGGGAGCAACACGGGAUUCACCUCCCCGGGCCGUGUCUCCCUCUUCCACCACCGCUCCUCCUCCACCUCUUUCGCGGCCUCCCUCCCGGGCAUCGCCCGACAGCAGCCUCGACAGGGACGACCUGGACCCGAACCCGGUUGUGGACACCACGGAGGCCCUCGCCAAGGUCGACCUCUCCAACGACCCGGACGCCACCGCCACCGCCAAGUCCGGCUCCAGCAAGCCCCGUUAG